Molecule: ribosomal RNA, 214 nt
Filed under: Brachymeria sp. D1893
Lineage: Eukaryota; Metazoa; Arthropoda; Insecta; Hymenoptera; Chalcididae
Description: partial 28S ribosomal RNA
Rfam family: Eukaryotic large subunit ribosomal RNA
Source: RNAcentral
UUUCCCUCAGGAUAGCUGGCACUCGCUUGAGCGAGUCUCAUCUGGUAAAGCGAAUGAUUAGAGGCCUUGGGGCCGAAACGACCUCAACCUAUUCUCAAACUUUAAAUGGGUGAGAUGACUGGCUUGCUUGAACGUUGAAGCCAUGUCAGACAUUUAGCGAAGGAUCAGAGUGCCAAGUGGGCCAAUUUUGGUAAGCAGAACUGGCGCUGUGGGA